Molecule: ribosomal RNA, 497 nt
Filed under: uncultured bacterium
Lineage: Bacteria
Description: partial 16S ribosomal RNA
Rfam family: Bacterial small subunit ribosomal RNA
Source: RNAcentral
GAUGAACGCUGGCGGCGUGCCUAAUACAUGCCAGUCGAGCGAACGGACGAGAAGCUUGCUUCUCUGAUGUUAGCGGCGGACGGGGGAGUAACACGUGGAUAACCUACCUAUAAGACUGGGAUAACUUCGGGAAACCGGAGCUAAUACCGGAUAAUAUUUUGAACCGCAUGGUUCAAAAGUGAAAGACGGUCUUGCUGUCACUUAUAGAUGGAUCCGCGCUGCAUUAGCUAGUUGGUAAGGUAACGGCUUACCAAGGCAACGAUGCAUAGCCGACCUGAGAGGGUGAUCGGCCACACUGGAACUGAGACACGGUCCAGACUCCUACGGGAGGCAGCAGUAGGGAAUCUUCCGCAAUGGGCGAAAGCCUGACGGAGCAACGCCGCGUGAGUGAUGAAGGUCUUCGGAUCGUAAAACUAUGUUAUUAGGGAAGAACAUAUGUGUAAGUAACUGUGCACAUCUUGACGGUACCUAAUCAGAAAGCCACGGCUAACUACGUG